GACGAACGCUGGCGGCGUGCUUAACACAUGCAAGUCGAACGGAAAGGCCCUGCUUUUGUGGGGUGCUCGAGUGGCGAAAGGGUGAGUAACACGUGAGUAACCUGCCCUUGACUUUGGGAUAACUCCAGGAAACUGGGGCUAAUACCGGAUAGGAGCUCCUGCUGCACGGUGGGGGUUGGAAAGUUUCGGCGGUUGGGGAUGGAAUCGCGGCUUAUCAGCUUGUUGGUGGGGUAGUGGCUUACCACGGCUUUGACGGGUAGCCGGCCUGAGAGGGUGACCGGCCACAUUGGGACUGAGAUACGGCCCAGACUCCUACGGCAGGCAGCAGUGGGGAAUAUUGCACAAUGGGCGGAGGCCUGAUGCAGCAACGCCGCGUGCGGGAUGACGGCCUUCGGGUUGUAACCCGCUUUCGCCUGUGACGAAGCGUGAGUGACGGUAAUGGGUAAAGAAGCACCGGCUAACUACGUG
RNAcentral lists this ribosomal RNA (468 nucleotides) under uncultured bacterium. Its description in RNAcentral is "partial 16S ribosomal RNA". It matches the Rfam family "Bacterial small subunit ribosomal RNA", at positions 28 to 507 of the family's 1533-position model. The record is from RNAcentral.